GGAUGGGAGGGUGAUAUGGCUGCAACAUCGGUCGCCCAUUAAUCACCAGUGUUGAUUCAGCUGAUCUGGCUGGCUAGGUUGGUGUCCCCUUCCUCCUUCACCACACCAUGUGCGUCCCUCCUGAAGAUGCACUCUGUCGAUGAGGAUGACCAUCCCCAACAGAGGACCAUCCCCAACAGAGGACCACACUUCAGUCAAGGGUAUACAAGUAGCUGCACUCCCCUGCUUGAACCUCCAAAUAAGCUCUCAAGAAAGAACAUCAGGAAUCACAAAAGAGAAAUAGGACAGAUGAAAGCACAGAGAAACAGAAAGGCAAAAGAGAAAUGUAGGAAACACUUU
This 339-nucleotide small nuclear RNA is filed under the name Castor canadensis (American beaver). RNAcentral's name for it is "7SK RNA (ENSCCNG00000017949.1)". It matches the Rfam family "7SK RNA". From Rfam's summary of the family: 7SK was discovered as an abundant small nuclear RNA in the mid-70s but a possible function has only recently been suggested. Two independent studies have found that 7SK RNA binds the CDK9/cyclin T complex (known as elongation factor P-TEFb). Lineage: Eukaryota; Metazoa; Chordata; Mammalia; Rodentia; Castoridae. The record is from Rfam by way of RNAcentral.